This 374-nucleotide ribosomal RNA is filed under the name Psychrobacter sp. RNAcentral's name for it is "bacterial SSU rRNA". It matches the Rfam family "Bacterial small subunit ribosomal RNA", at positions 1 to 375 of the family's 1533-position model. The record is from RNAcentral. Lineage: Bacteria; Pseudomonadati; Pseudomonadota; Gammaproteobacteria; Moraxellales; Moraxellaceae.
AAACUGAAGAGUUUGAUCAUGGCUCAGAUUGAACGCUGGCGGCAGGCUUAACACAUGCAAGUCGAGCGGAAACGAUGAUAGCUUGCUAUCAGGCGUCGAGCGGCGGACGGGUGAGUAACACUUAGGAAUCUACCUAGUAGUGGGGGAUAGCUCGGGGAAACUCGAAUUAAUACCGCAUACGACCUACGGGAGAAAGGGGGCAGUUUACUGCUCUCGCUAUUAGAUGAGCCUAAGUCGGAUUAGCUAGAUGGUGGGGUAAAGGCCUACCAUGGCGACGAUCUGUAGCUGGUCUGAGAGGAUGAUCAGCCACACCGGGACUGAGACACGGCCCGGACUCCUACGGGAGGCAGCAGUGGGGAAUAUUGGACAAUGGG